This 563-nucleotide long non-coding RNA is filed under the name Zonotrichia albicollis (white-throated sparrow). RNAcentral's name for it is "lncRNA (ENSZALG00000001876.1)". Lineage: Eukaryota; Metazoa; Chordata; Aves; Passeriformes; Passerellidae. The record is from RNAcentral.
AUAUCCCAGUUUGUCCCAGUUCCCUCCCAGUUUAUCCCAGUCCAUCCCAGUCCCUCCCAGUCCAUUCCCAGUAAAUCCCAGUAUAUCUCAAUCCCUUCCAGUCCAUUCCCAGUCCCUCCCAAUUUAUCCCAGUCCAUCCCAGUCCAUUCCCAAUCCCUCCCAGUCCGUCCCAGUCCCUCCCAGUUUAUCCCAGUCCCUCCCAGUCCGUCCCAGUUCCCUCCCAGUUCCCUCCCAGUCCCACCCUGGCCGCGGCCGCCAUGACCAGGAGGGCGGGGCCAAAGCUCAGCCAAUAGGGAGCGAGGAUUUCCAGCACCAGGGCGACGUCAUUGAGGAGAUCGGCCACGAACCUGGGAGAAAGGGGCGGGGCUUGUCCUUAUUCGGAGUUGUGGGCGUGGCCUGCCCAUAAAUGGCCACAGAAGGGCGGGGCUUGGGGAUUUGGCACCAUAUAUGGUAAUAGAGGGGUGGGGCAUAGGUGGGAGUGGCCAAAUAUGGAAAAAGGGGCGGAGAUUGAGGUGAGGGUGGGGCGUAAUGCCCUAUAUGACAAGGGUGGGGGCGUGGCCUGU